Molecule: ribosomal RNA, 254 nt
Filed under: uncultured bacterium
Lineage: Bacteria
Description: partial 16S ribosomal RNA
Rfam family: Bacterial small subunit ribosomal RNA
Source: RNAcentral
UACAGAGGGUGCGAGCGUUGUUCGGAAUUAUUGGGCGUAAAGGGCGCGUAGGCGGCCACUGCAAGUCAGUUGUGAAAUCUCCGGGCUUAACCCGGAAAGGUCAACUGAUACUGCAGGGCUAGAGUGCAGAAGGGGCAACUGGAAUUCUCGGUGUAGCGGUGAAAUGCGUAGAUAUCGAGAGGAACACCUGCGGCGAAGGCGGGUUGCUGGGCUGACACUGACGCUGAGGAGCGAAAGCGUGGGGAGCGAACAGG